This 459-nucleotide ribosomal RNA is filed under the name uncultured bacterium. Its description in RNAcentral is "partial 16S ribosomal RNA". It matches the Rfam family "Bacterial small subunit ribosomal RNA", at positions 338 to 795 of the family's 1533-position model. The record is from RNAcentral.
CCUACGGGAGGCAGCAGUGAGGAAUAUUGGUCAAUGGCCGGAAGGCUGAACCAGCCAAGCCGCGUGAAGGACGAAGGUGCCAAGCAUUGUAAACUUCUUUUGUCAAGGGACAAAAUCAGGCUCGAGAGCCUGACCGAGGGUACUUGAAGAAAAAGCAUCGGCUAACUCCGUGCCAGCCGCCGCGGUUAGACGGAGGAUGCGAGCGUUAUCCGGAUUUAUUGGGUUUAAAGGGUGCGUAGGCGGGCUGUUAAGUCAGCGGUAAAAGCCCGGGGCUCAACCCCGGCGAGCCGUUGAAACGGGCUGUCUUGAGAUGUCGAGAGGUAUGCGGAAUGCGCAGUGUAGCGGUGAAAUGCAUAGAUAUUGCGCAGAACUCCGAUUGCGAAGGCAGCAUACCGGCGGCGAUCUGACGCUGAGGCACGAAAGCGUGGGUAUCGAACAGGAUUAGAUACCCCUGUAGUC